RNAcentral lists this ribosomal RNA (677 nucleotides) under uncultured bacterium. Its description in RNAcentral is "bacterial SSU rRNA". It matches the Rfam family "Bacterial small subunit ribosomal RNA", at positions 93 to 768 of the family's 1533-position model. The record is from RNAcentral.
GACCGGCGCACGGGUGAGUAACGCGUAUCCAACCUUCCCUUUACUGGGGUUCAGCCCGUCGAAAGGCGGAUUAAUCCCCCAUGUUCUCCGUCCCGGACAUCUGUGUCGGAGCAAAGAUUUAUCGGUAAAGGAUGGGGAUGCGUCCGAUUAGCUUGUUGGCGGGGUAACGGCCCACCAAGGCAUCGAUCGGUAGGGGUUCUGAGAGGAAGGUCCCCCACACUGGAACUGAGACACGGUCCAGACUCCUACGGGAGGCAGCAGUGAGGAAUAUUGGUCAAUGGCCGCAAGGCUGAACCAGCCAAGUAGCGUGAGGGAAGACUGCCCUAUGGGUUGUAAACCUCUUUUAUGCGGGGAUAAAGGCGUCCACGUGUGGAUGUUUGCAGGUACCGCAUGAAUAAGGACCGGCUAAUUCCGUGCCAGCAGCCGCGGUAAUACGGAAGGUCCGGGCGUUAUCCGGAUUUAUUGGGUUUAAAGGGAGCGUAGGCCGGUCUUUAAGCGUGCCGUGAAAUUUUGUGGCUCAACCAUGAGAGUGCGGCGCGAACUGGAGACUUUGAGUGCGCGGAAGGCAGGCGGAAUUCGUGGUGUAGCGGUGAAAUGCUUAGAUAUCACGAAGAACCCCGAUUGCGAAGGCAGCCUGCCGCAGCGUUACUGACGCUGAAGCUCGAAAGCGCGGGUAU